AUCCAGGUGGCUCAGCGGUAGAGAACCUGCCUGCGAUGCAGGAGACGCCAUAUGUUUGAUCCCUGGGUU
RNAcentral lists this transfer RNA (69 nucleotides) under Bos taurus (domestic cattle). It matches the Rfam family "tRNA". Rfam says of the family: Transfer RNA (tRNA) molecules are approximately 80 nucleotides in length. The record is from Rfam by way of RNAcentral. Lineage: Eukaryota; Metazoa; Chordata; Mammalia; Artiodactyla; Bovidae. RNAcentral also lists the same sequence under 3 other names.